UAACUAACCAAAACUGUUUUUUCUUGUGCUGGACUAAUUUUCACUAAUUCUGUAACAAUAACAAGGAAUUGAUGAGUAAUGUUCGUGAAGUUCGAGACAGUGUCGUUUCAGAAAUUGCUAAGAUGUCUCUUCUGCGAUCUCUUCCUCUUCAAUCGCACCCGGUCACCACCAAGCCAGCAAACGUUCAAGCAGUCACCGUGAGUGUUCUCA
Molecule: long non-coding RNA, 210 nt
Filed under: Vigna radiata
Lineage: Eukaryota; Viridiplantae; Streptophyta; Magnoliopsida; Fabales; Fabaceae
Description: long non-coding RNA (VRAD_LNC000771)
Source: RNAcentral